UCACCAACAAGUACUACAACUUGGUCUUUCACCUUUUGUGGAUCUAAUGUUCACUUUUUGUUUUAACAAAAGAUGAAAAGGGUGAAGAACAACAAGAAAACAAUAACAACACCAAGAACAACAAUAAUAUUCUCCAAGAACAACAACAAAUUCCAACGCCCAACUCCACAACAACAAGGCCUUCAACACGGUCAAGGCUUAGAAUGACAA
RNAcentral lists this long non-coding RNA (210 nucleotides) under Capsicum annuum. Its description in RNAcentral is "long non-coding RNA (CANN_LNC001365)". The record is from RNAcentral. Lineage: Eukaryota; Viridiplantae; Streptophyta; Magnoliopsida; Solanales; Solanaceae.